CCUACGGGAGGCAGCAGUGGGGAAUAUUGGACAAUGGGCGAAAGCCUGAUCCAGCAAUGCCGCGUGAGUGAUGAAGGCCUUAGGGUUGUAAAGCUCUUUUACCAGGGAUGAUAAUGACAGUACCUGGAGAAUAAGCUCCGGCUAACUCCGUGCCAGCAGCCGCGGUAAUACGGAGGGAGCUAGCGUUGUUCGGAAUUACUGGGCGUAAAGCGUACGUAGGCGGUUAUUCAAGUCAGAGGUGAAAGCCUGGAGCUCAACUCCAGAACUGCCUUUGAAACUAGAUAGCUAGAAUCUUGGAGAGGUGAGUGGAAUUCCGAGUGUAGAGGUGAAAUUCGUAGAUAUUCGGAAGAACACCAGUGGCGAAGGCGACUCACUGGACAAGUAUUGACGCUGAGGUACGAAAGCGUGGGGAGCAAACAGGAUUAGAUACCCUGGUAGUCCACGCCGUAAACGAUGAUAACUAGCUGUUCGGGCUCUACGAGCUUGAGUGGCGCAGCUAACGCAUUAAGUUAUCCGCCUGGGGAGUACGGUCGCAAGNUUAAAACUCAAAGGAAUUGACGG
RNAcentral lists this ribosomal RNA (561 nucleotides) under uncultured bacterium. Its description in RNAcentral is "bacterial SSU rRNA". It matches the Rfam family "Bacterial small subunit ribosomal RNA", at positions 338 to 916 of the family's 1533-position model. The record is from RNAcentral.